Molecule: ribosomal RNA, 269 nt
Filed under: uncultured prokaryote
Description: partial 16S ribosomal RNA
Rfam family: Bacterial small subunit ribosomal RNA
Source: RNAcentral
CACGGGGGUUGCGAGCGUUGUCCGGAAUCACUGGGUGUAAAGGGCGCGUAGGUGGUCUGUUAAGUCUGGCGUUAAAGCCUGGGGCUCAACCCCAGAUCAGCGUUGGAUACUGGCAGGCUAGACGGUUGGAGAGGCGAGUGGAAUUACCAGUGUAGCGGUGGAAUGCGUAGAUACUGGUAGGAACACCCAUUGCGAAGGCAGCUCGCUGGACAACACGUGACACUGAGGCGCGAAAGUGUGGGGAGCAAACCGGAUUAGAUGCCCGCGUA